AGGUUUCCGUAGGUGAACCUGCGGAAGGAUCAUUAUCGAAUUAUAAGGCAAGGGUUGUAGCUGGUCCUCCGGGGCAUGUGCACGCCGGAGCCGAUUUAAUCCAACACACACCUGUGAACACACCGUAGGCCUUCGGGCCUAUGUCUUUAAUCACCAACUCCAAUGUCUCUACAGAAUGUCAUCUUUUUUAUAUUUGUUGCCCUAAGAAAGCAAUCGAAUUAAAUACAACUUUCAACAACGGAUCUCUUGGCUCUCGCAUCGAUGAAGAACGCAGCGAAAUGCGAUAAGUAAUGUGAAUUGCAGAUUUUCAGUGAAUCAUCGAAUCUUUGAACGCACCUUGCGCCCCUUGGUAUUCCGAGGGGCAUGCCUGUUUGAGAGUCAUUAAAUUCUCAACCCCACCGAUUUGUUUCGUUCUUGGGGCUUGGAUGUUGGAGCGUGCUGGCGUGAGUCGGCUCCUCUUUAAAUGCAUUAGCGGAAACCAGUCUUUCCAGCUGUCAGUAUGAUAAUCACGUCUUGCUGUCGCUGGGGAUCAGUCGUGUCCGCUUAUAACCGUCCUAGGACAACACAUCAAAUUUUGACCUCAAAUCAGGCUGA
Molecule: ribosomal RNA, 594 nt
Filed under: uncultured Atheliaceae
Lineage: Eukaryota; Fungi; Basidiomycota; Agaricomycetes; Atheliales; Atheliaceae
Description: eukaryotic LSU rRNA
Rfam family: 5.8S ribosomal RNA (bases 227-381)
Source: RNAcentral